RNAcentral lists this long non-coding RNA (263 nucleotides) under Ananas comosus (pineapple). Its description in RNAcentral is "long non-coding RNA (ACOM_LNC038105)". Lineage: Eukaryota; Viridiplantae; Streptophyta; Magnoliopsida; Poales; Bromeliaceae. The record is from RNAcentral.
UAAAUUUUUGGUUUAGUUUUGAAUUUAUGAUUUUUUUUCCAUGUGUUAUCUUUUUAUUUAAAUUGUUUAUUAGUAGAAUUAAUUUGUUAUAUUUGGUUUAGAUUUGUAGUUAUUUAAAUUGGAGUUAAAUCCUAAUCUAAUUGGGAUUAUAUAAUUUGGCAUAUAUGGAGUUUAAAAUAGAUUAGAAUUAAGAUUCGGAAUAAAUAAUGAGCUGGCAAUUUACUAUUGGUCACGGCAAUAUUAAUUUGAGUCCGACUCAAAUU